AUCAAAGUUUGCAUAUAUGGAGUACGCAGGGUUCAGCUGUAUGGGGAUAAUUUCCGAGGUCCGGAUGACUUGGUCUCAAUCGAGUGGGUUUUGACUUCAUGUGCAGUUCAUAGUGGUUAGUCUUUAUAUUGAAUGGUUCUUUUCGUUGCAUUAGGAAACUCAUCAGUCGCCAAAUCUGUAACAAAAUAAACAAAAAUUCAUUAUGAACGCAAGACAUAAUUGGCUGAAGGAAGCAAGAAAAUUCGUCAAAAAUUUGUCAACAAGGCACAUAUUGUUUAUUUUAUAUAUAAUAUUUUUAAUUCAAAUUGAUAGUUAGAAAAAAAUGUAUUUCGCGAAAAAGACAUUUGUAUUUAUUUUUUAGUUUGGGAAUUGGUGUUUUUCAUCACCCAUUUUUAUAGGUAUGACAAUAAUUGUGAAUAAACCUUUGUAACACCA
Molecule: long non-coding RNA, 435 nt
Organism: Xenia sp. Carnegie-2017
Lineage: Eukaryota; Metazoa; Cnidaria; Anthozoa; Malacalcyonacea; Xeniidae
Exons: 2
Source: RefSeq, a predicted model, not a curated record